Non-coding RNA from Streptomyces sp. AS58, 78 nucleotides. Lineage: Bacteria; Bacillati; Actinomycetota; Actinomycetes; Kitasatosporales; Streptomycetaceae. The record is from Rfam.
ACUGGGUUGAUAGGCCGGAUAUGGAAGCACGGUAACGUGUGGAGUUGACCGGUACUAAUAGGCCGAGGGCUUGUCCUC